This is a long non-coding RNA of Myotis davidii, 130 nucleotides long. RefSeq lists it as uncharacterized. The record is from RefSeq and is a predicted model, not a curated record. The transcript has 3 exons. NCBI's taxonomy places the organism in Eukaryota, Metazoa, Chordata, Mammalia, Chiroptera, Vespertilionidae.
GGUUCCAUUGCCGACAUGGCCAACUCUGAUCCCCACUACCCCGGCUCCUCCAUCAAGGGCGACUUCAACUAUGGCAGCUGCGUGGCCUCCGCCAGGCCAGCGUACAUAUCCGCAUGGCCUUUCUAUGAAA